RNAcentral lists this unclassified non-coding RNA (115 nucleotides) under Enterobacter hormaechei. RNAcentral describes it as "yybP-ykoY". Lineage: Bacteria; Pseudomonadati; Pseudomonadota; Gammaproteobacteria; Enterobacterales; Enterobacteriaceae. The record is from RNAcentral.
GUUACCUGCAAAGGGGAGUAACUUCUUCGCCGGUGGAUCGUCAUUACGAUGCGUGCAAAACCGCAUCCGGUCGCCGGGCAACCUUCGAGGUUGUAAGUGAGACCUUGCCGGAAGG